CUAAUCCAACUAAUUUUAAAACAAAUAAUAAUGAUACAUAACAUUAAGGGACGAACCUGGUCCCUUAUACUAAUCUCCCUAAUUAUUUUUAUUGCCACAGCUAAUCUCCUUGGACUCUUACCCCACUCAUUUACACCAGCUGCCCAACUAUCUAUAAACCUAGCCAUGGCAAUCCCCCUAUGAGCAGGCACAGUAAUUACAGGCU
RNAcentral lists this long non-coding RNA (205 nucleotides) under Homo sapiens (human). RNAcentral's name for it is "non-protein coding lnc-ATP6V1B2-7:1". The record is from RNAcentral. Lineage: Eukaryota; Metazoa; Chordata; Mammalia; Primates; Hominidae.